GAAUGUUGACCUCGAAUCAGGUAGGAAUACCCGCUGAACUUAAGCAUAUCAAUAAAAAAGGAAGAA
RNAcentral lists this ribosomal RNA (66 nucleotides) under Fusarium neocosmosporiellum. Its description in RNAcentral is "partial 28S ribosomal RNA". The record is from RNAcentral. Lineage: Eukaryota; Fungi; Ascomycota; Sordariomycetes; Hypocreales; Nectriaceae.